CUACCUACUUUGCUCAUCUUUG
RNAcentral lists this microRNA (22 nucleotides) under Macaca mulatta (Rhesus monkey). Its description in RNAcentral is "mml-miR-1255a-3p". The record is from miRBase by way of RNAcentral. Lineage: Eukaryota; Metazoa; Chordata; Mammalia; Primates; Cercopithecidae.